UACGUAGGGGGCGAGCGUUGUCCGGAUUUACUGGGCGUAAAGAGCGCGCAGGCGGUCGUUCAAGUCGCGUGUGAAAGCCCCCGGCUCAACUGGGGAGGGUCACGCGAUACUGAUCGACUGGAAGGCAGGAGAGGGUAGUGGAAUUCCCGGUGUAGUGGUGAAAUGCGUAGAUAUCGGGAGGAACACCAGUGGCGAAGGCGACUACCUGGCCUGUUCUUGGCGCUGAGGCGCGAAAGCUAGGGGAGCAAACGGG
RNAcentral lists this ribosomal RNA (253 nucleotides) under uncultured bacterium. RNAcentral's name for it is "partial 16S ribosomal RNA". It matches the Rfam family "Bacterial small subunit ribosomal RNA", at positions 524 to 776 of the family's 1533-position model. The record is from RNAcentral.